Molecule: ribosomal RNA, 807 nt
Filed under: uncultured bacterium
Lineage: Bacteria
Description: bacterial SSU rRNA
Rfam family: Bacterial small subunit ribosomal RNA
Source: RNAcentral
ACACAUGCAAGUCGAGGGGCGGCGGGAUUGAAGCUUGCUUCAAUUGCCGGCGACCGGCGCACGGGUGAGUAACGCGUAUCCAACCUUCCGUACACUCAGGGAUAGCCUUUCGAAAGAAAGAUUAAUACCUGAUGGUAUGAUGAGAUUGCAUGAUAGCAUCAUUAAAGAUUUAUCGGUGUACGAUGGGGAUGCGUUCCAUUAGGUAGUAGGCGGGGUAACGGCCCACCUAGCCAACGAUGGAUAGGGGUUCUGAGAGGAAGGUCCCCCACAUUGGAACUGAGACACGGUCCAAACUCCUACGGGAGGCAGCAGUGAGGAAUAUUGGUCAAUGGACGAGAGUCUGAACCAGCCAAGUAGCGUGAAGGAUGAAGGUCUUACGGAUUGUAAACUUCUUUUAUAAGGGAAUAAAACCUCCCACGUGUGGGAGCUUGUAUGUACCUUAUGAAUAAGCAUCGGCUAACUCCGUGCCAGCAGCCGCGGUAAUACGGAGGAUGCGAGCGUUAUCCGGAUUUAUUGGGUUUAAAGGGAGCGCAGACGGGUCGUUAAGUCAGCUGUGAAAGUUUGGGGCUCAACCUUAAAAUUGCAGUUGAUACUGGCGUCCUUGAGUGCGGUUGAGGUGUGCGGAAUUCGUGGUGUAGCGGUGAAAUGCUUAGAUAUCACGAAGAACUCCGAUUGCGAAGGCAGCACACUAAGCCGUAACUGACGUUCAUGCUCGAAAGUGUGGGUAUCAAACAGGAUUAGAUACCCUGGUAGUCCACACGGUAAACGAUGGAUACUCGCUGUUGGCGAUAUACGGUCAGCGGCUUA